This 1354-nucleotide ribosomal RNA is filed under the name Hydropsyche formosana. Its description in RNAcentral is "16S ribosomal RNA". The record is from RNAcentral. Lineage: Eukaryota; Metazoa; Arthropoda; Insecta; Trichoptera; Hydropsychidae.
UUUAGUUUAAUUAAAAUAAUAUUUAAUUUAAUUUAAGUUUGAGUAAUUAAUUUAAUUAGAAAUAAUAUUUAAAUUUAUAGUUGAUUAGUAAAUUGAUUGAAUUUUUAAAAAAGUUAAAAAUUAUAAAUUUUUUAAAGUAAAUUUAAUUUAUUGUAUCUUGUGUAUCAGAGUUUAAUAAAUAAAUUAAAUUAAUUUUUAAAUCUCGAAAAAAAUUAAGAGAUAAAAAUUAAUAUUUUAUUAAUGUGAAAUAAUUAUAAAUAAUUGAUUUUUAGUAAUGAAAAGUUAUUCGUUUUUUUUUAUAUCUAGUUUUUAAAGAAAUAAAUUUAAUUUACAAUUUAAUUUAUUUUAUUAAUUUAUUUUAUAUAUUAAUAAGAUUUAUAAAUAUAUGUAUAUAGAUUAAAUUGUUAUAUAUGUAGGGUUAAGCUUAUAUAUAAAAAUUUAUAUUUAAUUAAUAAAAAUUAAUAAAAUUAUAAAAUUGAAAUUUUUAAUUAUUUAAGUUAUUAAUUUAUUAUUUAUUAAUUUAAAUUAUUAUUUAAUUUAUAUUAAAUUAAUUAUUUAUUUAAAAAUUUUUAUUAAUUUUUAAUAAAAAUUAAUAAUGUUAAAAUUAGUAUAAUUAAUGUUAUAAUUUUUAGAUUUAAUUAAAUUAAAAUUAAUAAAUUAGGCAAAACUUAAUUAUUUAUAAAAUUAAUUUAUUUCACAUGUUUAACAAAAACAUGUCUUUUAGUUUUAAAUUUAAAGUCAAAUCUGCCCACUGAAUUUAAAUUUAAAGGGCUGCGGAAUUUUAACUGUACGAAGGUAGCAUAAUAAUUUGUUUUUUAAUUGAAAACUAGAAUGAAUGAUUUCAUGAGAAUAAAACUGUAUAAAUUUUAUUAAUUGAAUUUAUUUUUUAUAUUAAAAAAUAUAAAUAAAUUUAAAAGACGAGAAGACCCUUUAGAUUUUGAACUAAUUAAAUUUAAAAUUUAAAUUUAUUUAUAAUUAUUAAAAUUUAAUUAAUUUUAAUUGGGGUGAUUUAUAAAUUUAUGAAACUUUAAUUUAUAAAUAUGUUUAAUUUUAAUUAGAGAUUUAUGGUAAUGAUUUAUUAAUAUGGAUUAGAUGAUUAAAUUACCUAAGGGAUAACAGCGUUAUUUAGAUUUUUAGUUCUAAUAGAAAUUUAAGAUUGCGACCUCGAUGUUGGAUUAAAAUUUAUAUUAAAUGCAAGAGUUUAAUUAUUUAGUCUGUUCGACUAUUAAAAUUUUACAUGAUCUGAGUUCAAACCGGUGUGAGCCAGGUUGGUUUCUAUCUUUAAUAAUAAUAUUAAUAUUUUAGUACGAAAGGAUUGAAUAUUAAAAAUAAUAAAUUUUAAUUUAAAUGAUUA